UCCGGGGUAGACGAAUAGGUAAAGUCAUGAUUUUUUGGUAGUCAUAUUUGGGUGUUCGACUCACCCCUCCGGAA
Molecule: transfer RNA, 74 nt
Filed under: Botryosphaeria dothidea
Lineage: Eukaryota; Fungi; Ascomycota; Dothideomycetes; Botryosphaeriales; Botryosphaeriaceae
Also listed under: 1 other name
Description: tRNA-Gln
Source: RNAcentral